CGUGCCAGCAGCCGCGGUAAGACGGAGGGGGCAAGCGUUGUCCGGACUCACUGGGCGUAAAGCGUGCGUAGGCGGUACGGAGCGUCGCCACUGAAAGCUCCCGGCUCAACCGGGUGAGGUGUGGCGAUACGGCCGAACUAGAGGCAGGGAGAGGUGUGCGGAAUUCCGGGUGUAGUGGUGAAAUGCGUAGAUACCCGGAGGAACGCCGGUGGCGCAAGCGGCGCGCUGGCCCUGACCUGACGCUGAGGCACGAAAGCGUGGGGAGCGAACCGGAUUAGAUACCCGGGUAGUCCACGCAGUAAACGAUGUCGGCUCGGUGUGCAGCGGUGAACUUCACCGCCGCGUGCCCAAGCAUACGCGGUAAGCCGACCGCCUGGGGACUACGAGCGCAAGCUUAAAACUCAAAGGAAUUGACGGGGGCCCGCACAAGCAGCGGAGCGUGUGGUUUAAUUCGAUGCAACGCGAAGAACCUUACCCAGGUUUGACAUGCAGCUGCAAGCGCACAGAAAUGUGUGACCUUCGAGGGUGCUGCACAGGUGCUGCAUGGCUGUCGUCAGCUCGUGUCGUGAGAUGUUGGGUUAAGUCCCGCAACGAGCGCAACCCUUGCCGUCAGUUACAAGUGUCUGGCGGGACUGCCCUCUAUUCGAGGGAGGAAGGCGGGGAUGACGUCAAGUCAGCAUGGCCCUUACGCCUGGGGCGACACACACGCUACAAUGUCGGCGACAAUGCGUCGCGACCGCGCAAGCGGCAGCUAAUCGCCAAACGCCGACCCAGUGCAGAUCGGGGGCUGCAACUCGCCCCGGAAGGCGGAGU
This 813-nucleotide ribosomal RNA is filed under the name uncultured organism. RNAcentral's name for it is "bacterial SSU rRNA". It matches the Rfam family "Bacterial small subunit ribosomal RNA", at positions 504 to 1332 of the family's 1533-position model. The record is from RNAcentral.